AUUGAACGCUGGCGGCAGGCUUAACACAUGCAAGUCGAGCGGGGUGAUGGUGCUUGCACUAUCACUUAGCGGCGGACGGGUGAGUAAUGCUUAGGAAUCUGCCUAUUAGUGGGGGACAACAUCUCGAAAGGGAUGCUAAUACCGCAUACGUCCUACGGGAGAAAGCAGGGGAUCACUUGUGACCUUGCGCUAAUAGAUGAGCCUAAGUCGGAUUAGCGAGUUGGUGGGGUAAAGGCCUACCAAGGCGACGAUCUGUAGCGGGUCUGAGAGGAUGAUCCGCCACACUGGGACUGAGACACGGCCCAGACUCUUACGGGAGGCAGCAGUGGGGAAUAUUGGACAAUGGGGGGAACCCUGAUCCAGCCAUGCCGCGUGUGUGAAGAAGGCCUUAUGGUUGUAAAGCACUUUAAGCGAGGAGGAGGCUCUUUUGGUUAAUACCCAAGAUGAGUGGACGUUACUCGCAGAAUAAGCACCGGCUAACUCUGUGCCAGCCGCCGCGGUAA
RNAcentral lists this ribosomal RNA (503 nucleotides) under uncultured bacterium. Its description in RNAcentral is "partial 16S ribosomal RNA". It matches the Rfam family "Bacterial small subunit ribosomal RNA", at positions 30 to 523 of the family's 1533-position model. The record is from RNAcentral.